This 201-nucleotide ribosomal RNA is filed under the name uncultured bacterium. RNAcentral describes it as "partial 16S ribosomal RNA". It matches the Rfam family "Bacterial small subunit ribosomal RNA", at positions 1300 to 1500 of the family's 1533-position model. The record is from RNAcentral.
GCAGGCUGCAACCCGCCUGCAUGAAGUUGGAAUCGCUAGUAAUCGCGGACCAGCAUGCCGCGGUGAAUACGUUCCCGGGCCUUGUACACACCGCCCGUCACACCAUGAGAGUCGGGAACACCCGAAGUCCGUAGCCUGACCGCAAGGGGGGCGCGGCCGAAGGUGGGUUCGAUAAUUGGGGUGAAGUCGUAACAAGGUACC